GUCAGCUUCUGCAGGGGGUUCUUCUUACCCUGAGUGUAUGGAGAGUUGAUGACCCCUAGUGGGAGCUGAGAAACCACAUAGCCGCCUGCAACAAGUAAAUGCUGAUAUUUGCAUUGGAGAUGUGGGGAGUUAACACUCUCCACAGGAGAUCUGUUCUUUUGCUUACAGCUUCUUACUUAGGCAACUGAGAAUUGAAGUUUUUGAAAAAUCAAAAAAGAAAUUUAACUUAUUAUGUGAGGUAGGGACAAAGGAAAGUCACCAAGUUCAGGAAGGGCAUAGCCCAGCCUUGCUGUAAGAGGGUGACUUCUGUGCCUGACCAUAGGCUAACACUGGUGACCACGGCCACCUGGGGCAGAGCUGUGAACCCAGAGAAGCAGCUGAACAGGCCAGCAGGCAACCUGCCAUGGGGUCCUGCUCCAAGAACCGGUCCUUCUUCUGGAUGACUGGGCUCCUGGUAUUCAUCAGCCUCCUCCUCAGUGUCUGCAGAACUGCAGCCAACACUUCUGGAGCACAUGGCUCUGCAGGGAAGGAUUCUGGAGCCCCCAUUCAUCUGAAGGGCAUCCGAGGAGGUUCUGUCUUGUUUAAUGCGAUCGAGAAGCUCAGAGUAGAUGUAGGCACCGAGUUGGAGGAGGUUCUAUGGGCUUUGGGCGCUCUGACAAAUCAUACACAGUUGCUGCGAGUCCGCAGGGGGGCCGACUCUCCAACCUGGUUGAAACUCCAGGACAAGUUCAAGCAGAGGGUCCAUGUACCCAGCAUGUCAUCCCUGAGGAUUGAGAACCUGGCCCCUGAAGACAGUGGGCAGUACUUUGCCAACAUCACCUCUACUAAGGGAGAGGGGAUUUUCCAGGUUUUCUACCUCACUGUCUAUGAGCCUGUGCCUCACCCUGAGUUCCUGGCAAAGUCACUGUCUAUCACACCAGACCUGUGUAACGUCACCCUGGAGUGUAGGGCUCCAGGGGCCACAGAAGACCUGAAUGUGACUUGGGAGAGCAAGGGCCUCCUCAGAGAGCUGGAGCAGAGAGAAACACCAGGACCAGCCCCCAACCCCUGGACACUGGCUGUGAACCUGCCCCUGUGCCAGUGCAACACCCACCUCACCUGUGUGGUCAGCAACCAGGUGGAUCAGAAAGCUGCAAUCUUAGACCUUAGGAAAGUCUGUGUCCAAGGCAGAGAAUUGCAGGAGAAUCAUGGGGUCGAUGAUGGUGUCAACCAAUAUGAAGAUCUCAGACAGCAAGUGUUUCCGAAGGGCAAGGACAAGGGCAUCGGUGAACAAUAUCUGGAAAAAAGGGAGUCUCUCACUCCUAUCUACAGUGAGGUUCAUUAUCAUUGUCCAGGCCAGGCCAUUAAGAUCAUUCGAUUGGAGGAAGCAACAGGAUCUGGCACUCCCAGGACACCUGUACUCUGAGCCUGAAGCCUGCAGAUCCCCGCCUUUCCCAGUGCUGGUUCAGUUUCCGCUGCCCCUAGUCUGUGUUACUCUGAUCUCAUAGCUACAGUUCUACAGUGUACCCAUGGCCUGUUCGCAUUCUGUGACACCUCCCAAAGAUGCACUUACACUUGGGCAAAGAUUCUUCCCUUGUCAUUGACAUUGCUCCUGACCCCUCUCUUUCAGAAGCCUUCCCAAGGGGACCCUGUCUGAUUGCACAGGUGGCAAAUCCCCACCACCUCUGCCAUGUCACUUGUGUGUGUAAUUCUGAGGACACAAGCCCAGACAUGGGAACUGUGCAGAGGUGUUGACUGUGCUGCAGAGGAGGGACAUAGACCUGGCUUCUGGAUGCUGAGUUGGAGGAUAUCGUGGGUGGGUAGAAGCCCACAAAGGAACACGCUGAGGCUUCCUUUGCAGAUUUUGUGUAGGGCUCCCUUGCGGGUAUCAGGCAGUGCGUGUGUGCAUGCAGGUUGGUGGUGGAGGGGGGUGUCUAGUGCAUAUUAUACAACUGAACCAAAGCCACCUUUCUUUUCUUCUGUGCUAAUCUUAACUUAAUCUUCAGCCUCAGCCUGUGGAUCCAAACUCAACUUCCUGUAGAGUGGAAAGAGAAAUUUUUAUCAUCUCAAAACCUUCCUAGCCUCAGUGUCUCAGAGAAUGACCCUAAGAGGCCACAGUUGGAGGCUGUCUUAGGAACACAGCCUCAGCUCUUUCCUUGGCCUAGUAUAAGGCACUUGGCUGUAAGAACAGAAGUGUGAUAUCCUUCCACACUCACUUGAUGAGGGCUACUUGGGCUCUGAUGGGUGAAGCUGUUGAGAAGGUCUGACUCAGCCCUCUCCAACCUCUUCUUAUUCUGACCCUUAAUACCCCAGUAGCCAUGCUGGCCCCAAACCCUUGGUCAUCCACUUCUUUGCUCACUUGCAUCUCUCUGCCUGACAUGAAAGUUCCUUCUCCCUGUUCCUCACCCUCACUCCCGCCUGUUGAAAUACUACUGUGCUGCUCAAAGCUCUUCCCAAGAUGCUUGUUCCAUGGAGCUCUCUGGAUCUUAAAGGUUUAGACAUGAUCUCUCCCACAACUGACUUUUCUGAACACCUUGGACACUAUGUACGGUCCCUGCCAGUUUGUCCUAGGAUGGUCAUGAGUCUUCCUGCAGGACUAACCUGGGCUCUCUCAGGUGGAUGUGGGGCUGUGGGGUAAUAGGGCUGAGGAGACAAGUACUUAUUGGUGCAAAUGGUCUGGGCCACCUUGUUCCCAACCCAUGGGGUCAGCAGAGGGAGAUGCAGCACAGGGGCUACUGACAAACUCUCUGGUGUGGCUCUACCUGGAAACAGGGAUGGACAUAAUGACCUCCCUUGACUAUGCGUGGCCUGAGGUCCUAAUUGGAGACUUCCUUACUCCCUCAUCCACCUCUUAUUGCGAACCUGGCCAUUCUUCCAUCAUGGUAUGUGGGUGUUUCUUUCCUCCUGAGGGGUCCUCAGCUUCUUGCAGCCUCUGCCUCUUAUUUGAGUCCCAGCUUUUAUGCAGAGAUGAGCUAACUCUAGUACCAUGAGCUGCUGUGGCAUGUCUGGUGGCCUAGAUCCUUGGGCCCCUUAGUUUCCCUCAUGGCUCAGGUGAGCUCAUUUCCUCAUUGCCACCCACAGAAAACAAAGAUCUGAACAGAGUCCCUGCUAAGAGAUGGAGCACUAGAAAAUAGUGCUAGGUGCCUGCUGAAUGGUGGGUGGGUGAGGCAAGAGGGAGAGGAUCCAUAGCAGGGCUUCAUUUCUGCCAUCUUCCCCUUUAGACUGAGCUGAAGGCCGAGGGUGUGCUGGUCUCUUCACUGGCUUCCCAGGUGACUGGACAUUACUGGGUAUCAGUGCACAUUAACCCUGGGGCAGCAUAAGAUGUGAUCACCCAACUGACGUUCCCACUGCACCAAAGGCAACAAAAAACCAAACCAAACAAACCAAAAAGAGGAACAAGGCUUUUGAGGCUGUUUUGAACCAGUUUUUGUCCCAGGCACUUUGCACAUAUUAUUCUUUUUAAUUCUUCUUUAAAUACAUUUUUAAUUUUAAAAUACUAAAUGUUUUACUCUUCUUGUUUAUGAUUUCUUCCAAUGAUAUCAAACUUAAAAGUCCUCUGCAUUCAAAGGACCCAAUAAGUUUUUAUUUAUAUUUUCUUCUGUUGAAAACAUUACAUUAUAAAUACACAUUUUACUCUGAUAUUCCUUUUAAUUGUUAUAAGAACCUACUAUAGUUGGUAUAGGUCAACAGUAUUCAAAACUAGUUGGUGGCAGAGCAAAGCCUUAGAUCCAACACUGGAUGAUUCCAAAGCUCCUUAUCUUUUCCCCUCAUGACAACGGUCACUGAAGACCCUUGCUAUGGUUUGGAUGUUUCCUGUUGGAACUUAAUCCCCAAUGCAAAAGCAUGAAGAAGAGCCGGCUUUUAGGAGGUAAUUAGGUCCCAAGAAUGGAAUUGGUACUCUUAAAAUGGCUUGAGGACAGUGUCACCCCUUUUGCCCUUCUGUCACUUCAACCAUGUGAGGGCACAGUGUUCCUCCUUCCACCAUGUGAGAAUACAGUGUUCCCCACUUCCACCAUGUGAGGACACAGUGUUCCUGCCUUGGAUCAUGUGAAGACAUUGUGCUUCCCCCUUCCACCAUAUAAGGACAUGAUGUUCCUGCCUUUCACCAGGUGAGGACACAGUGUUGCUCCCUUCCACCAUGUGAGAACAUAGUCUACCCCCUUUCUCCAUAUGAGGACACGGUGUUCCCCACUUCCAACAUAUGAGGACAUGGUGUUUCUCCUUCCAUUAUGUAAGGACAUAGUGUUCCUUGCUUCCACUACGUAAUGACACAGUAUUGCCCCUUCCACCAUGUGAGGACACAGUAUUGCCCCUUCCACCAUGUGAGAACAUGGUGUUCCUGCUUUCCAUCAUGUGAGGACACAGUAUUGCCCCUUCCACCAUGUGAGGACACAGUGUUGCCUGCUUCCAUAAUGUGAGGACAUGGUGUUCCCACCUUCCAUCAUGUGCGGACAUACUGUUCUCCCCUUUCACCACUGAGUGCAGUGUUUCCCUCUCUGCUAUGUGAUGAUAUCACAAUAAGAUGCCAUCUAUGGAGCUGAAGGUGAGAUGAAGAGACCCUGAAUCUGCCUUACCAGAUCCUGAAUCUGCCUUACCAGAUCCUGAAUCUACUGGUGCCUUGAUAUUAGACUUCUCAGCCUCCAGACUGUGAGAAAUAAAUUUCUAUUAUAUACAAAUUGCCCAGUGAUUUAUACAUCUAAGGUAUUUUAUUAUAGUAGCCAAAC
RNAcentral lists this long non-coding RNA (4703 nucleotides) under Pan paniscus (pygmy chimpanzee). RNAcentral's name for it is "lncRNA (ENSPPAG00000044300.1)". The record is from RNAcentral. Lineage: Eukaryota; Metazoa; Chordata; Mammalia; Primates; Hominidae.